This 212-nucleotide ribosomal RNA is filed under the name uncultured bacterium. Its description in RNAcentral is "partial 16S ribosomal RNA". It matches the Rfam family "Bacterial small subunit ribosomal RNA", at positions 1290 to 1500 of the family's 1533-position model. The record is from RNAcentral.
AGUUCGAAUUGUAGUCUGCAACUCGACUACAUGAAGCCGGAAUCGCUAGUAAUCGCGGAUCAGAAUGCCGCGGUGAAUACGUUCCCGGGUCUUGUACACACCGCCCGUCACACCAUGGGAGCCGGAAAUGCCCGAAGUCAGUGACCCAACCAAUAAGGAGGGAGCUGCCGAAGGCAGGUCUGGUGACUGGGGUGAAGUCGUAACAAGGUACC